AUACGGAGGGUGCAAGCGUUAUUCGGAAUCACUGGGCGUAAAGGGUGCGUAGGCGGUUUGAUAAGUCUGAUGGGAAAUCCUAUGGCUCAACCAUAGAACUGCAUUGGAAACUGUCAGACUAGAAUACUGAAGGGGCAGAUGGAAUUAGUGGUGUAGGGGUAAAAUCCGUAGAUAUCACUAGGAAUACCGAAAGCGAAAGCGAUCUGCUGGGAAGUUAUUGACGCUGAGGCACGAAAGCGUGGGGAGCAAACGGGAUUAGAAACCCCAGUAGUCC
RNAcentral lists this ribosomal RNA (274 nucleotides) under uncultured bacterium. Its description in RNAcentral is "partial 16S ribosomal RNA". It matches the Rfam family "Bacterial small subunit ribosomal RNA", at positions 523 to 796 of the family's 1533-position model. The record is from RNAcentral.